UGGGGAAUAUUGCACAAUGGAGGAAACUCUGAUGCAGCAAUGCCGCGUGUGUGAAGAAGGCCUUCGGGUUGUAAAGCACUUUCAGACGCGAGGAAAAGCUAACUAUUAAUACUAGUUAGCCUUGACGUUAACGUCAGAAGAAGCACCGGCUAACUCCGUGCCAGCAGCCGCGGUAAUACGGAGGGUGCAAGCGUUAAUCGGAAUUACUGGGCGUAAAGCGCGCGUAGGCGGAUAAAUAAGUCAGAUGUGAAAUCCCUGGGCUCAACCUAGGAACUGCAUUUGAUACUGUUUAUCUAGAGUAUGGUAGAGGUGAGUGGAAUUUCAGGUGUAGCGGUGAAAUGCGUAGAGAUCUGAAGGAACAUCAGUGGCGAAGGCGACUCACUGGGCCAUUACUGACGCUGAGGUGCGAAAGCGUGGGUAGCAAACA
This 427-nucleotide ribosomal RNA is filed under the name uncultured bacterium. RNAcentral describes it as "bacterial SSU rRNA". It matches the Rfam family "Bacterial small subunit ribosomal RNA", at positions 355 to 774 of the family's 1533-position model. The record is from RNAcentral.